UCGCCGGGAUUCAUAGAAGAGGGAGUAUAUUCGUCAACUUGAAGAGGGAGGGGAUGAGAAGUGACCUUGCUUCCUUUAAAUCUUGUCAUGAGGGUACACGAUGAAGGCUAUGCCUUUCUUCAUAUUUAUGCUGGCAAAUCUCUCGUUUUUCAUUCAAGUUCUUAGAUUUUUACGAAGAGUUUUUGUACAUGAUGCUGAGUCAUACGUUAAUAUGUACUCCCUCUGUCUCAUAAUAUAAGAGAGUUUUUGACACUACACUAAUGUCAUAAACACUCUUAUAUUAUGGAAUGGAGGGAGUAUAAGAGAGGGAUUGUGACGAGUAAUGGCAUCAGCACAUAGUUAAUUAAGUCAACAUCGGCCCAUGAACUAUGUGACAAGGGUAUGUGGAAUAUUGAAUAUCCGACCACUCAAAAAUCAAGAUGUACUAGUUUGUACCCUUGAAGAUCAAGACAUGCAAAGAGAAUAUGUGGCUUAUUUCUUUGAUCUUUGGGCACAACUGAACAGUAUAGUUGCAUUGCAUCACCUUUCAGGUGUGUACGUAUGUGGUUUGCUAGCAUUAUUGGUAUUCAACUAUUCAUGCUCAAUCCAAUCUGAAUUAUCUCCAUCUCUCUUAUAUAUUAUUGCCACUGUGUUUAUAGCUGAUUAGCCUCCUUGAUGUUUUCUUACACAUUGGUUUGCAUCGAUGUAGGACGGUCAAUGCCGGCAGUGUAUAAUAUACAAAACAGAUAGGGGGCAGCAAAAACCAUAGACAGCGGAGGGACCAUCCUGGAUGGUUUCAUGGAUGCUGGACAGUUGCAGAUAAGUAUCCUUUUAUUCUAUGGUAUACACGAUAGCCAGCCAGGAGAUCAUGAGAUCAAACCAGAUACUCUUGGCUGUGUGAAUUCGUUGGCGGAAAGUAGCUUGAUUUAUCCAGAUUUAAUUCCCAAUAGACAAAAAAAAGAAAGAAAGAAAAUGGACUAAAAACAUAAAAUUAUAGGGCCUCGUUUGAGAUACUAGCUAGAGUAUUGCCAUACUAUGAACAGUGCUAGGUUUAAUUCCGUUUUGGGUGGGAUAUUUGUACUAUGUACGACUGCCAAAAGAAUAUAAUAUUAUCGACAAUUAAGUAAAUAUGCGUACUGUGGUGUCAACUGUUGCUGAUUGGAACUACUACUUGGCAGCAGCAGCAUGGGUACUACUCCCGGUACUACUUAAAACCAUGGGAGGGCUCAGCACUGGAGGUACGACCACCUAUCCCAUCCAUCUCCUCUGCUCCAAAACCAGACGCCAAGAGCCCUUUCUCUCACCACCUCUCCUUUCAAUUCCAGUACGGCGGUCGCUCACCGGAUCCAAGAAGAAAAAAUCUCUCCCAUUUCCUGUUGCGUCCGGAGGUUUUGUUUGGGUUUCCUUUCGGAUUUUUGGGUUGUUUGCUGCUUUUGUGUCGGAAGUUGUUCUUCGGUUGUGCAAUCUGUGAAGUAAUGUUAGCUCCUGGUGUGGGGAGGCCCUCGAGAGAUUGACAGAAGAGAGUGAGCACAUGGCGUGAUGCCGGCAUAACAUGUAUGCCGUCUUCGCCGCGUGCUCACUCCUCUUUCUGUCAGCCUCUUUCUCUCAGGAGUUUACGUUACAUUCAGAUCCACUGGUGGGUAUGUAGAACUAAUUUGAUUCAAUUUCAAUUCAAUAGUUCAUAAUUUUCCACACAAAAAAGAAGGUUAACCCCUGCUUAUGAGAGGAACUCAGCCACAAAAGAAAGACAGAACACGCAUGCGGCAUGUACUCUGGCUGUUCUCCGACUUUACCAUGCCACUUCCUUAUCUCUUUAGAUGUGUGCGCACGCAAAAAAAUAAAAUAAAAUAAAUUGCUCUGUUGUUUUGAUCUUUUCAGUCAAGUUGCUCCUGGGAACUACUACCGAGGAGAGUGAUACGGAUGCUAGUGGUAAUUGUAAGGAGUGGCAGCUGUAGGCUUGUAGUACUGGAAUAAAUGAUUGGAUUUGUUACUUGUUUUUUUCAUCCCCAAAUUGUUUUAUCUUCUCCCUUUGCAGUUGUACUCGCCUUGGGAGCUGAAUCAUGGAGAUGCUGCCGGUACACUGCAACAUGCACCAGCUCUCUCUCUCUCUN
This 2090-nucleotide long non-coding RNA is filed under the name Triticum aestivum (bread wheat). RNAcentral's name for it is "long non-coding RNA (TAES_LNC013138)". The stretch from base 1490 to 1574 matches the Rfam family "mir-156 microRNA precursor family". The record is from RNAcentral. Lineage: Eukaryota; Viridiplantae; Streptophyta; Magnoliopsida; Poales; Poaceae.